This 495-nucleotide ribosomal RNA is filed under the name uncultured bacterium. RNAcentral's name for it is "partial 16S ribosomal RNA". It matches the Rfam family "Bacterial small subunit ribosomal RNA", at positions 28 to 507 of the family's 1533-position model. The record is from RNAcentral.
GACGAACGCUGGCGGCGUGCCUAAUAUAUGCAAGUAGAACGCUGAAGGAGGAGCUUGCUUCUCUGGAUGAGUUGCGAACGGGUGAGUAACGCGUAGGUAACCUGCCUGGUAGCGGGGGAUAACUAUUGGAAACGAUAGCUAAUACCGCAUAACAGUAGAUAUCGCAUGAUAUCUACUUGAAAGGUGCAAUUGCAUCACUACCAGAUGGACCUGCGUUGUAUUAGCUAGUUGGUGAGGUAACGGCUCACCAAGGCGACGAUACAUAGCCGACCUGAGAGGGUGAUCGGCCACACUGGGACUGAGACACGGCCCAGACUCCUACGGGAGGCAGCAGUAGGGAAUCUUCGGCAAUGGACGGAAGUCUGACCGAGCAACGCCGCGUGAGUGAAGAAGGUUUUCGGAUCGUAAAGCUCUGUUGUAAGAGAAGAACGAGCGUGAGAGUGGAAAGUUCACAAUGUGACGGUAUCUUACCAGAAAGAGACGGCUAACUACGUG